RNAcentral lists this ribosomal RNA (847 nucleotides) under Escherichia coli. Its description in RNAcentral is "partial 23S ribosomal RNA". It matches the Rfam family "Bacterial large subunit ribosomal RNA", at positions 340 to 1191 of the family's 2925-position model. The record is from RNAcentral. Lineage: Bacteria; Pseudomonadati; Pseudomonadota; Gammaproteobacteria; Enterobacterales; Enterobacteriaceae.
GUCUGGAAAGGCGUGCGAUACAGGGUGACAGCCCCGUACACAAAAAUGCACAUACUGUGAGCUCGAUGAGUAGGGCGGGACACGUGGUAUCCUGUCUGAAUAUGGGGGGACCAUCCUCCAAGGCUAAAUACUCCUGACUGACCGAUAGUGAACCAGUACCGUGAGGGAAAGGCGAAAAGAACCCCGGCGAGGGGAGUGAAAAAGAACCUGAAACCGUGUACGUACAAGCAGUGGGAGCCUCUUUUAUGGGGUGACUGCGUACCUUUUGUAUAAUGGGUCAGCGACUUAUAUUCUGUAGCAAGGUUAACCGAAUAGGGGAGCCGAAGGGAAACCGAGUCUUAACUGGGCGUUAAGUUGCAGGGUAUAGACCCGAAACCCGGUGAUCUAGCCAUGGGCAGGUUGAAGGUUGGGUAACACUAACUGGAGGACCGAACCGACUAAUGUUGAAAAAUUAGCGGAUGACUUGUGGCUGGGGGUGAAAGGCCAAUCAAACCGGGAGAUAGCUGGUUCUCCCCGAAAGCUAUUUAGGUAGCGCCUCGUGAAUUCAUCUCCGGGGGUAGAGCACUGUUUCGGCAAGGGGGUCAUCCCGACUUACCAACCCGAUGCAAACUGCGAAUACCGGAGAAUGUUAUCACGGGAGACACACGGCGGGUGCUAACGUCCGUCGUGAAGAGGGAAACAACCCAGACCGCCAGCUAAGGUCCCAAAGUCAUGGUUAAGUGGGAAACGAUGUGGGAAGGCCCAGACAGCCAGGAUGUUGGCUUAGAAGCAGCCAUCAUUUAAAGAAAGCGUAAUAGCUCACUGGUCGAGUCGGCCUGCGCGGAAGAUGUAACGGGGCUAAACCAUG